AGCCAAGCAGCCAGGCCUGUUUCGUCAGAUAGGAGCUAACAGCGCUAGGAACAGCAUGGCAGUUCGUUCCUGUGUUGUUUGUGAAAACAACACAUUAGUGUUAUAUGCUUUGUCCAGUAAUUCAGAGCUAAGGAACAAUAUGUCAAUGAAACACCACCAGCGAAGUACAAUUGAAAGAGACUCCGGGAGUUAAGGAGAAAUCAAGAGCCCAGGAGGACAGGACCGGUCAAAUAGCGGCAGACAACAAUAAGAUUGGCUGUUCUUCCAUGUGGCUAAGACACACUGUUUAUACCAAGGCUGGGAUCAUCAGUGAAAAAAGUUGUUGUGCCACUCUCUAUGUCAGAGGCUGCUUUUAUUGAAAAAAAAGAGCAGAAUUCCCUGCUGUACAAAGUGACUUUUUCCUUCUAAGAGUUAACAGACAGAGGAGAAUCCACAGGCUGGAGGCUGCUAUAAAAGCCUGUUCUGUGCUAAGAAGAUCAGCCGUUUACAUCAGAAAUAUGGCACGCUACUGACACUUUAGUAAAAUUCCAGGGCAUUUUAAAUGUUUUAUAAUUAAAUAAAACAUGCAGUCUACAAUA
Molecule: long non-coding RNA, 578 nt
Organism: Astyanax mexicanus (Mexican tetra)
Lineage: Eukaryota; Metazoa; Chordata; Actinopteri; Characiformes; Acestrorhamphidae
Exons: 3
Source: RefSeq, a predicted model, not a curated record